AAACGUUUAAAACCAGUAUUGCGGGCAGAAACUCAGGUUCCAUUUAUGGUGCUGUAUUUUUCUGUCGGCGAGUCAACAUCAGUUUUGCUUGGAGUAAAACGCUAGAGGAAGGUAGCCUUCGGGUGUUAUAGCCUCUAGUAAUGCUCUGGGCGGGACUGAGGACUGCAGCGUUCUUUGGGUUUACCACACCAACGCUUAGGAUGUUGACGAAAUGGUUUUAAGCGA
RNAcentral lists this ribosomal RNA (225 nucleotides) under Rhizophydiales sp. RNAcentral's name for it is "partial large subunit ribosomal RNA". The record is from RNAcentral. Lineage: Eukaryota; Fungi; Chytridiomycota; Chytridiomycetes; Rhizophydiales.